Molecule: ribosomal RNA, 146 nt
Filed under: Salmonella enterica subsp. enterica serovar Kentucky
Lineage: Bacteria; Pseudomonadati; Pseudomonadota; Gammaproteobacteria; Enterobacterales; Enterobacteriaceae
Description: partial 23S ribosomal RNA
Rfam family: Bacterial large subunit ribosomal RNA
Source: RNAcentral
CCCAAGAGUUCAUAUCGACGGCGGUGUUUGGCACCUCGAUGUCGGCUCAUCACAUCCUGGGGCUGAAGUAGGUCCCAAGGGUAUGGCUGUUCGCCAUUUAAAGUGGUACGCGAGCUGGGUUUAGAACACGCGAGUAUUCGCGCCCU